GAUGAACGCUAGCGGCGUGCUUAACACAUGCAAGUCGAACGAAGCACUUUAUUUGAUUUCCUUCGGGACUGAUUAUUUUGUGACUGAGUGGCGGACGGGUGAGUAACGCGUGGGUAACCUGCCUUGUACAGGGGGAUAACAGUUGGAAACGGCUGCUAAUACCGCAUAAGCGCACAGCAUCGCAUGAUGCAGUGUGAAAAACUCCGGUGGUAUAAGAUGGACCCGCGUUGGAUUAGCUAGUUGGUGAGGUAACGGCCCACCAAGGCGACGAUCCAUAGCCGACCUGAGAGGGUGACCGGCCACAUUGGGACUGAGACACGGCCCAAACUCCUACGGGAGGCAGCAGUGGGGAAUAUUGCACAAUGGGCGAAAGCCUGAUGCAGCGACGCCGCGUGAGCGAAGAAGUAUUUCGGUAUGUAAAGCUCUAUCAGCAGGGAAGAUAAUGACGGUACCUGACGAAGAAGCACCGGCUAAAUACGUG
This 481-nucleotide ribosomal RNA is filed under the name uncultured bacterium. RNAcentral describes it as "partial 16S ribosomal RNA". It matches the Rfam family "Bacterial small subunit ribosomal RNA", at positions 28 to 507 of the family's 1533-position model. The record is from RNAcentral.